Molecule: ribosomal RNA, 255 nt
Filed under: uncultured bacterium
Lineage: Bacteria
Description: partial 16S ribosomal RNA
Rfam family: Bacterial small subunit ribosomal RNA
Source: RNAcentral
CACGUAGGGUGCGAGCGUUGUCCGGAAUUAUUGGGCGUAAAGAGCUCGUAGGCGGUGUGUCGCGUCGGCCGUGAAAACCUGCAGCUUAACUGUGGGCUUGCGGUCGAUACGGGCAUCACUGGAGUUCGGCAGGGGAGACUGGAAUUCCUGGUGUAGCGGUGAAAUGCGCAGAUAUCAGGAGGAACACCGGUGGCGAAGGCGGGUCUCUGGGCCGAUACUGACGCUGAGGAGCGAAAGCGUGGGGAGCGAACAGGA